Cricetulus griseus (Chinese hamster) is the source of this 874-nucleotide non-coding RNA. The record is from RefSeq and is a predicted model, not a curated record. Lineage: Eukaryota; Metazoa; Chordata; Mammalia; Rodentia; Cricetidae.
CCAAAUCCUCUAGGGACACAGGUCUGUGAGCCAAGGAGCAGAAGUGGGGAGGAUGAGACUCAGCUCUGGUGAUUUUGACCCUGGGUCUGAGAUAACUCAUGGGUCCAACUGCAGGGAACAUAGCGAUCAGAGUACCACAAGGAGGACAAGCACAAGACAUCACAAGAUCCAGACUCAGGUUCUUCAGCUGACAAAGAUGGCAAGAGGCAAGAAUCUAUGAUUAAAAUUUACUUGGCGGCAUAUCAAACAAUUUCUAAGAGAAGGGACAAUGUUAAACUACGGUGUCUAAAGUCACACAUUAAAUGGCCAACUAGAAAGACAUGUGAAGAGGAGGAAGCAAGAGGAGCAGCUGCACCAGUAGAAUUAAACGUGUAGAAUUAAGCGUGUCCCCCUAGUGCUCUGCACAGGAAGAAAGUCCUCCACCUGACCGCAGGCAGCAGGCCGGCCUCCUACAGGAAAAGCAAAGCCCACUGGUGAUGCCCAAUGUCUCUGCAGCACCAUAGGAGGAGGCCCGAGGCUGCCGUGUCACCUGAGAGAGAGUGUGGGGUCAGCCAGGCCUACAUCUGAGACCAUGUCUAGAGACAAGGGAGGAGCUCCCUCCAAGCCUUGGACUCCAGCUGGUGACACUACUUUAGAAACCUUAAGAGGGAAGCCUAAUCAAAGGUAACAGAUCACUGAUGACAUGCCCUUGUGUUUCAUCUUACCUAGCCCCUAACUGUAUUCCCCUCCUUGGUUUCCAGUCUGCCAUAGGAUAAACAGCCUAGUACUCCCAACACCAUGGCAUUAUACCUUUCCAUGAGCCAGUCAACAGACCAAACACUAUGGACUGAAAUUUCUAAAAGUGCAAGCAAAAAUAAACAGUUUCUUCUUUUAA